This 480-nucleotide long non-coding RNA is filed under the name Pongo abelii (Sumatran orangutan). RNAcentral's name for it is "lincRNA". Lineage: Eukaryota; Metazoa; Chordata; Mammalia; Primates; Hominidae. The record is from RNAcentral.
AUGGAGUCCAGGCCCUCAGGGAGACAGCACGCCAGUGGGGGAGACGGAGACCAAUCACCCACCCAGUGUGCGGGGAUGAGAAGCUCGGGAAGGUCUGACCAGCCUUACGUCUUGAGAGGGAACCCCCUGCUUCUGUGUGUCAGGUGUUACUCGGGGUGCGCCAGUGGAAGCGGGAGGCAGUUGCAGCUUUCAGUCUUCCAGGAUCUCAACCAGUUCUCUCACUGCAGAGUCUGGAGAAGCCCAGCCCUCAGUGUGAAGGGAGAGCCACCGUGGUGCUCACAGCAAGACCCCCAGAGUCCCUUCUGGGCAGGGACACCCCUGGAGCGACCCUGUUUCAGUAUGAAGUUAUCUGGGUGGGAACUCACCAAGAAUGCACAGAGGGCGCUGGGCUCCAAGCUUCAGCAUAUUCUUUCACUGAACUCCACACAGCCCUGCUGAGCAGGUGGGCCCACCAUUCUCAGACCCCCCAGGGCCCCAUAG